AAGAAUUUCAUCAUUGUAUGACUCAAUUGACGGUCGUUGUUGCCCCUGUUGUUUCCCAAGAAUGCAUGAACAACUUUUUGGAAAGCUUUCCAAGUUUUAGCUUCGGAACUGUCAAGGCAUUGUUGAAAUUCUGUGUUAUAGGUUAUAUGUCUGCUUUUCGAAUUUUAUGCACUUCAAAGAAAUAGCGCGCACUGUUUUCGAUAUUGCAGGUAAUAACUGCUCUAUUGCCCGAAAAACAGGGUUUUUGGGAAUAUCUCGGAAACCGUUCUUUGAAAGAAAAAAAUUAAAUUAAUUUUUGGUUUCAGCGACCUCAAAUUAGUUUAAAAAACGCUUUUUGGUCGAGGACCAUUUUUGAAAGUGAAAAAUUUGUAAACUAGUGUUAUUAAAGCAGAAUGAAACCUAGUAUUUUACUUUUAAAUGAAAGGAAGAAAGAGUAUUCAUAAUAAAGACGAAAUUACGCAGGAAAUUAUUGGAAUUAGGUUAUGAAGUGACAAAUAUUUAAAGUAUUAUGCAAAAAGGCACCAAGAAACAGCUGCCUUUGUUCUCAUUGGAGAUGAAGUAAGGAGCAAAUAAUACCUGUAAAGAAAUUAAUUGAAUAAAUACAGGUUUGAACUGCCUCAUCAAAAGAACACAAUUCCACAAUAUACAAAUUGUCAAAAAUACAGGUACACUAAAAACGUUUGCACAAAAACUCCAGUUUGUGUAAAAUGCAGAGGUAAUCACAAAACUAUAGAUUGUGUGAAAGCUGCAGCAACAUAAAAUGUGCCCUUUGCGGAGGCAAGCACACAGCGAGCUACAAGGAUGCGGAGUGUACAAAGCAUGCAAAAUCAAGUAAUACUCAGAGCAGCGCAACAAAGAAUUGAAUGUUGAUAAACAGCAAAACUCUUUAAACCGGCAAAUUGAUUCACAUUAUGUCAAAACGACAAUGUCAUAUGUCCAAGUUACAUCUCAAAAACUACAAACGGGCGUGAUAAAUUCUGAAACAACAUCAAAUGACGACAUCAAAUAAUUAAAGGAAAUAAUGAAGCAGGUUUUCACACAAAUGUCAAAUAUAAUGAAUAUUAUGAUAUUGCUCGUUAACAAAAUAGAUGGAAAGCACAAGUAAACUGAAAAUAAUCGGUUGCAAUGAAAACGGCUUGGCGCCAACAUUUGAAGGAACUGUAGUGCGAUUCACUAACACAUUUUGACAAUAUUCGCAUUGUUAUCUUUCCUUAACGACAAUUUUAACGAUUUUGCUAUUCGGUAAGCCAAAUCGACAAGAAAAAAUUAGCUGUUUGAUUAACAUGUAGAUUAUCUCAAACUAAACAACAACAACUAUUUUGUGGUCCAAUUAAACGAGAAAAAAGAAUUAGUAGUUUAAAUAAAAAUUUUGAAAUUACAUUAAUAAAAACUUGUUAAAAAAACGGCUUAUCGCGUGGAGAGGAGGUAAUGAAACCGCAAACAGUGAAUCGACGUUUGCUCCGGGAUGUGACCAAUCCUUUCCAUUUGGCUGCAGGAGAGUUCUAAAAAUAUUCCGGUUAAGUCCAGACUUGACUCUUAUCAUUGCUUGCUUGAGUUUUGAUAAACCAUCUACGGUGAGGUAAUUUACCCAUAAAAACUCCUGCUCCUCACAUGUAUUUUCCUUCCUGAUCUUGUGAAUCUGAGAGUACAGCUGCUCUGAUAUUGUGAUGCUAAGAGUACAGAUGCGCAGAUGCAUUCUGCUAAGUUCUCCAAAUCAUCAUACACCAAACAAAGCAAUUUAGUCAGUAAAACACCACAAAGUUCUGCGUAUAACUUAACUCCUACUCACGAAUGGUCCACGACGCUGGCAGAGAAGCAUCCCUGAAACCAAAAAUUAAUUAAAUUUUUUUUUUCAAAGAACGGUUUCCGAGAUAUUCCCAAAAAACCUGGUUUUUGGGCAAUAGUGCAGUUAAUACCUGCAAUCUCGAAAACAGUGCGCGCCAUUUCUUUGAAGUGCAUACAUUUCGAAAGGCACACAUAUAACCUACAUGACAAUAUAUAAUUCGUGUCAAUGGAAGUCGUAGUUUUCGCAAAACAGCUGUUGAAAGUUAAAAAAAAGGCAUUUUUGACGUUUUUUACUAAAUUAUCAAAGUUUAUUAACUUUUUUCUGGAACAAAAAAUUUUUUAUAUCGACAAAAGAUAGGUUUUCUGAAAUACAAUUUUCUCACCUACAUUUUAAGCCUAAGUUUGUCUGAAUCGACGAAAAAUUGUAGAAGUUAUGACCUAUAAAGUCAACACGUGUGAUUUUGCAGCUUUUGACUUGGCUAUGUUUGAGGUCGAAAAUACGUUUUUACUCUCAAACUUCUUCUUUUAUGUUGCACGGAAUCUUCACGAAGUUGCAUCCAGCAGUAGUCGCUCAUCAUUCCGUGAUCCCUUUUCAAUCGUAGCAAUAUCUUGAUGAAAUCGCUCGCUUUGUUCAUCACUUUCAGCCCCAAAUUCGGAGGAAAAAAAUCCAAAGACUGAGAAGUAGAUGCAUUUUUAACGACAUGCGAGCACAUGUUAGCAAAAACAGAGUUAAUUGUAAAUUUUACAACAAUUUUCCAAUCAAUUUACAUACAUGAUAAAUACAAUAUAUUUUGGAGUAUGUACGUUUUACAAUACUAACCAAUAGUUUUAAAGAAUUUCAUCAUUGUAUGACUCAAUUGACGGUCGUUGUUGCCGCUGUUGUUUCCCAAGAAUGCAUGAACAACUUUUUGGAAAGCUUUCCAAGUUUUAGCUUCGGAACUGUCAAGGCAUUGUUGAAAUUCUGUGUUAUAGGUUAUAUGUCUGCCUUUCGAAUUUUAUGCACUUCAAAGAAAUAGCGCGCACUGUUUUCGAUAUUGCAGGUAAUAACUGCACUAUUGCCCGAAAAACAGGGUUUUUGGGAAUAUCUCGGAAACCGUUCUUUGAAAAAAAAAAUUUUAAUUAAUUUUUGGUUUCAGCGACCUUAAAUUAGUUUAAAAAACGCUUUUUGGUCGAGGACCAUUUUUGAAAGUGAAAAAUUGUAAACUAGUGUUAUUAAAGCAGAAUGAAACCUAGUAUUUUACUUUUAAAUGAAAGGAAGAAAGAGUAUUCAUAAUAAAGACGAAAUUACGCAGGAAAUUAUUGGAAUUAGGUUAUGAAGUGACAAAUAUUUAAAGUAUUAUGCAAAAAGGCACCAAGAAACAGCUGCCUUUGUUCUCAUUGGAGAUGAAGUAAGGAGCAAAUAAUACCUGUAAAGAAAUUAAUUGAAUAAAUACAGGUUUGAACUGCCUCAUCAAAAGAACACAAUUCCACAAUAUACAAAUUGUCAAAAAUACAGGUACACUAAAAACGUUUGCACAAAAACUCCAGUUUGUGUAAAAUGCAGAGGUAAUCACAAAACUAUAGAUUGUGUGAAAGCUGCAGCAACAUAAAAUGUGCCCUUUGCGGAGGCAAGCACACAGCGAGCUACAAGGAUGCGGAGUGUACAAAGCAUGCAAAAUCAAGUAAUACUCAGAGCAGCGCAACAAAGAAUUGAAUGUUGAUAAACAGCAAAACUCUUUAAACCGGCAAAUUGAUUCACAUUAUGUCAAAACGACAAUGUCAUAUGUCCAAGUUACAUCUCAAAAACUACAAACGGGCGUGAUAAAUUCUGAAACAACAUCAAAUGACGACAUCAAAUAAUUAAAGGAAAUAAUGAAGCAGGUUUUCACACAAAUGUCAAAUAUAAUGAAUAUUAUGAUAUUGCUCGUUAACAAAAUAGAUGGAAAGCACAAGUAAACUGAAAAUAAUCGGUUGCAAUGAAAACGGCUUGGCGCCAACAUUUGAAGGAACUGUAGUGCGAUUCACUAACACAUUUUGACAAUAUUCGCAUUGUUAUCUUUCCUUAACGACAAUUUUAACGAUUUUGCUAUUCGGUAAGCCAAAUCGACAAGAAAAAAUUAGCUGUUUGAUUAACAUGUAAUAGAUUAUCUCAAACUAAACAACAACAACUAUUUUGUGGUCCAAUUAAACGAGAAAAAAGAAUUAGUAGUUUAAAUAAAAAUUUUGAAAUUACAUUAAUAAAAACUUGUUAAAAAAACGGCUUAUCGCGUGGAGAGGAGGUAAUGAAACCGCAAACAGUGAAUCGACGUUUGCUCCGGGAUGUGACCAAUCCUUUCCAUUUGGCUGCAGGAGAGUUCUAAAAAUAUUCCGGUUAACUCCAGACUUGACUGAGGACCUAAUUUUUCAGCUUGACAACCAUCUUAGGGGUCCCAGAAUAACCGCCAUUUCGACUGAAAAACAGGUUCUGGCUCCACUGCGAUUUUUUGCAACCGGAUGUUAUCAACGACCCGUAGGUGAGCAAUGGGGAAUAUCCAUGAGCCAGUCGUCCGUUAGCCGUAGCAUACAUUGCGUAACAGAUGCAAUCAACUGCUCCAUGUUUUGCGCAAAGGUGAGGUUUCCUAUGACCCUAGUGGAGCGGCAAGCGGCAAAAAAAUUUUUACUUCAGCAACUUCACCGUUUUACGGAUUAUAUAUUUGGAGUCCCUCUGCAGUGCGGAAUUUUGAAAAUAGAAGCCAUAACAUAUUUUUGACUGGUGAUUCCGGGUACCCUUUGGAGCCUUGGCUGAUGACUUCUCUAACAAACCAACCAGAAAGCAGUUCGAAAUUCCUAUAUAAUGCAUUGUGCAAAACUAGUAACCCCGUUGAGAGAAUUUGUCUCGUUCUCAAGGCAAUUUGGCGGUGCUUAUCUCAACUAAGGACCUUUAUAUACGUAUGAUCCAGGAUUUACUGGACCAGUUGUGAACGCGUGCUCAGUUAUGCAUAACAUUCGUUUAAGAGAAGGAAUAUACCAGACCGAAAAUGAAUUCACAGAGCCCAUAACAAACAGCAGUUUUGAAAUCAACAUGCACCAUCCCCAACAGCUAAACGUAUCCAAGACGGACUUAUUGCUAUAUUUUUACAUAAAUAUAAUACUAUUAUUACUUAUAAUUAUUCUGUAUAUACAUUUAUACG
This is a long non-coding RNA of Anastrepha ludens (Mexican fruit fly), 4934 nucleotides long. RefSeq lists it as uncharacterized. The record is from RefSeq and is a predicted model, not a curated record. NCBI's taxonomy places the organism in Eukaryota, Metazoa, Arthropoda, Insecta, Diptera, Tephritidae. The transcript has 3 exons.